RNAcentral lists this ribosomal RNA (382 nucleotides) under uncultured bacterium. RNAcentral's name for it is "bacterial SSU rRNA". It matches the Rfam family "Bacterial small subunit ribosomal RNA", at positions 425 to 793 of the family's 1533-position model. The record is from RNAcentral.
GUAAAGCACUUUCAGUCGUGAGGAAGGUGGUAGUGUUAAUAGCACUAUCAUUUGACGUUAGCGACAGAAGAAGCACCGGCUAACUCCGUGCCAGCAGCCGCGGUAAUACGGAGGGUGCGAGCGUUAAUCGGAAUUACUGGGCGUAAAGCGCAUGCAGGUGGUUUGUUAAGUCAGAUGUGAAAGACCCGGGGCGUCAACCUCGGAAUAGCAUUUGAAACUAGGCAAACUAGAGUACUGUAGAGGGGGGUAGGAAUUUCAGGUGUAGCGGUGAAAUAGCGUAGAGAUCUGAAGGAAUACCGGUGGCGAAGGCGGCCCCCUCGGACAGAUACUGACACUCAGAUGCGAAAGCGUGGGGAGCAAACAGGAUUAGAUACCCUGGUAG